CUUGUGGUCUAGUGGUUAGGAUUUGGUGCUUUCGCCACCACAGCCCAGGUUCAAUUCCUGGUUAG
RNAcentral lists this transfer RNA (65 nucleotides) under Nomascus leucogenys (northern white-cheeked gibbon). It matches the Rfam family "tRNA". From Rfam's summary of the family: Transfer RNA (tRNA) molecules are approximately 80 nucleotides in length. Their secondary structure includes four short double-helical elements and three loops (D, anti-codon, and T loops). Further hydrogen bonds mediate the characteristic L-shaped molecular structure. tRNAs have two regions of fundamental functional importance: the anti-codon, which is responsible for specific mRNA codon recognition, and the 3' end, to which the tRNAs corresponding amino acid is attached (by aminoacyl-tRNA synthetases). tRNAs cope with the degeneracy of the genetic code in two manners: having more than one tRNA (with a specific anti-codon) for a particular amino acid; and 'wobble' base-pairing, i.e. permitting non-standard base-pairing at the 3rd anti-codon position. The record is from Rfam by way of RNAcentral. Lineage: Eukaryota; Metazoa; Chordata; Mammalia; Primates; Hylobatidae.